Molecule: long non-coding RNA, 278 nt
Organism: Arabidopsis lyrata subsp. lyrata
Lineage: Eukaryota; Viridiplantae; Streptophyta; Magnoliopsida; Brassicales; Brassicaceae
Exons: 2
Source: RefSeq, a predicted model, not a curated record
UUUGUGUUUCUGGAGCUUUUACAUUUUCAUACCUGGAAAAUCCACAAGGAUUUCAACAUCAAAAGAACAGCCAAUCUCAAUGUAGGGGAAGCGAUUCAAGACAUACCCAGAAGAUAUCCUUCACGGCCUUCUUCAAAUCAUCUUAACUCAAAUUUGUACUCUUCAGAUAAGUUGAGAUGUAUCCUUCUUAGUAAUUCAUAUAGCACUGAAUCUGUAUCCCGUCCCGCUUGAGUGUUGCAAUCCAAUGUGGUAACCAGUUAGUUCUCCACAUUUCCAAA